AGUGAACGCUGGCGGUAGACCUAACACAUGCAAGUCGAACGGCAGCACAGUAAGAGCUUGCUCUUACGGGUGGCGAGUGGCGGACGGGUGAGGAAUACAUCGGAAUCUACUUUUUCGUGGGGGAUAACGUAGGGAAACUUACGCUAAUACCGCAUACGACCUACGGGUGAAAGCAGGGGAUCUUCGGACCUUGCGCGAUUGAAUGAGCCGAUGUCGGAUUAGCUAGUUGGCGGGGUAAAGGCCCACCAAGGCGACGAUCCGUAGCUGGUCUGAGAGGAUGAUCAGCCACACUGGAACUGAGACACGGUCCAGACUCCUACGGGAGGCAGCAGUGGGGAAUAUUGGACAAUGGGCGCAAGCCUGAUCCAGCCAUACCGCGUGGGUGAAGAAGGCCUUCGGGUUGUAAAGCCCUUUUGUUGGGAAAGAAAAGCAGCAGGUUAAUACCCCGCUGUUCUGACGGUACCCAAAGAAUAAGCACCGGCUAACUUCGU
RNAcentral lists this ribosomal RNA (491 nucleotides) under uncultured bacterium. RNAcentral's name for it is "partial 16S ribosomal RNA". It matches the Rfam family "Bacterial small subunit ribosomal RNA", at positions 29 to 506 of the family's 1533-position model. The record is from RNAcentral.